RNAcentral lists this ribosomal RNA (101 nucleotides) under uncultured bacterium. RNAcentral's name for it is "partial 16S ribosomal RNA". It matches the Rfam family "Bacterial small subunit ribosomal RNA", at positions 1386 to 1482 of the family's 1533-position model. The record is from RNAcentral.
CACACCGCCCGUCACACCAUGGGAGUUGGUUUUGACCUGAAGACGGUGCGCUAACCCCGCAAGGGAGGCAGCCGGCCACGGUCAGGUCAGCGACUGGGGUG